RNAcentral lists this ribosomal RNA (253 nucleotides) under uncultured bacterium. RNAcentral's name for it is "partial 16S ribosomal RNA". It matches the Rfam family "Bacterial small subunit ribosomal RNA", at positions 524 to 776 of the family's 1533-position model. The record is from RNAcentral.
UACGAAGGGGGCUAGCGUUGUUCGGAAUUACUGGGCGUAAAGCGCACGUAGGCGGACUAUUAAGUCAGGGGUGAAAUCCCGGGGCUCAACCCCGGAACUGCCUUUGAUACUGGUAGUCUCGAGUCCGGAAGAGGUGAGUGGAAUUCCGAGUGUAGAGGUGAAAUUCGUAGAUAUUCGGAGGAACACCAGUGGCGAAGGCGGCUCACUGGCCCGAUACUGACGCCGAGGCACGAAAGCGUGGGGAGCAAACAGG